GAGUCCCGCUACCUGCAGAUUCAGAUGAUAAUGUUAACUGGAUGAGACUUACUUUCUUUUUUGUUUGAGUAGUCCAGGAAUAAGACAAUACUAAAUGGAUUCAACAUAUCAUAGCAGCUUAGUAAGUUACUAUUCAAAACCCAAUGGCAGAUUAUUAUUUGAUAUCUACACCAAUGAAGGUCCUAUUGAAGGUUUAUCUCUAGUCAACGACAUUUAUCCAUUCACUUCGACUGUCCCUAAAAC
This 243-nucleotide long non-coding RNA is filed under the name Prunus persica (peach). Its description in RNAcentral is "long non-coding RNA (PPER_LNC000615)". The record is from RNAcentral. Lineage: Eukaryota; Viridiplantae; Streptophyta; Magnoliopsida; Rosales; Rosaceae.